AAAUUGAAGAGUUUGAUCAUGGCUCAGAUUGAACGCUGGCGGCAGGCCUAACACAUGCAAGUCGAACGGUAACAGGAAGCAGCUUGCUGCUUCGCUGACGAGUGGCGGACGGGUGAGUAAUGUCUGGGAAACUGCCUGAUGGAGGGGGAUAACUACUGGAAACGGUGGCUAAUACCGCAUAACGUCGCAAGACCAAAGAGGGGGACCUUCGGGCCUCUUGCCAUCAGAUGUGCCCAGAUGGGAUUAGCUUGUUGGUGAGGUAACGGCUCACCAAGGCGACGAUCCCUAGCUGGUCUGAGAGGAUGACCAGCCACACUGGAACUGAGACACGGUCCAGACUCCUACGGGAGGCAGCAGUGGGGAAUAUUGCACAAUGGGCGCAAGCCUGAUGCAGCCAUGCCGCGUGUAUGAAGAAGGCCUUCGGGUUGUAAAGUACUUUCAGCGGGGAGGAAGGUGUUGCGGUUAAUAACCGCAGCAAUUGACGUUACCCGCAGAAGAAGCACCGGCUAACUCCGUGCCAGCAGCCGCGGUAAUACGGAGGGUGCAAGCGUUAAUCGGAAUUACUGGGCGUAAAGCGCACGCAGGCGGUCUGUCAAGUCGGAUGUGAAAUCCCCGGGCUCAACCUGGGAACUGCAUUCGAAACUGGCAGGCUUGAGUCUUGUAGAGGGGGGUAGAAUUCCAGGUGUAGCGGUGAAAUGCGUAGAGA
Molecule: ribosomal RNA, 706 nt
Filed under: Salmonella enterica subsp. enterica serovar Infantis
Lineage: Bacteria; Pseudomonadati; Pseudomonadota; Gammaproteobacteria; Enterobacterales; Enterobacteriaceae
Description: bacterial SSU rRNA
Rfam family: Bacterial small subunit ribosomal RNA
Source: RNAcentral